Molecule: ribosomal RNA, 218 nt
Filed under: uncultured bacterium
Lineage: Bacteria
Description: partial 16S ribosomal RNA
Rfam family: Bacterial small subunit ribosomal RNA
Source: RNAcentral
ACGCUCGACACCUACGGGAAGCAGCAGUGAGGAAUAUUGGUCAAUGGGCGCUAGCCUGAACCAGCCAAGUAGCGUGAAGGAUGAAGGCUCUAUGGGUCGUAAACUUCUUUUAUAUAAGAAUAAAGUGCAGUAUGUAUACUGUUUUGUAUGUAUUAUAUGAAUAAGGAUCGGCUAACUCCGUGCCCGCAGCCGCGGUAAUCUGAGCGGGCUGGCAAGGC